Molecule: transfer RNA, 85 nt
Filed under: Rhizobium sp. CFBP 13717
Lineage: Bacteria; Pseudomonadati; Pseudomonadota; Alphaproteobacteria; Hyphomicrobiales; Rhizobiaceae
Also listed under: 1 other name
Description: tRNA-Leu
Rfam family: tRNA
About the family: Transfer RNA (tRNA) molecules are approximately 80 nucleotides in length. Their secondary structure includes four short double-helical elements and three loops (D, anti-codon, and T loops). Further hydrogen bonds mediate the characteristic L-shaped molecular structure. tRNAs have two regions of fundamental functional importance: the anti-codon, which is responsible for specific mRNA codon recognition, and the 3' end, to which the tRNAs corresponding amino acid is attached (by aminoacyl-tRNA synthetases). tRNAs cope with the degeneracy of the genetic code in two manners: having more than one tRNA (with a specific anti-codon) for a particular amino acid; and 'wobble' base-pairing, i.e. permitting non-standard base-pairing at the 3rd anti-codon position.
Source: RNAcentral
GCUCGCAUGGUGAAAUUGGUAAACACACCGCACUUAAAAUGCGUCGCCUUACGGCUUGCCGGUUCAAGUCCGGCUGCGAGCACCA